RNAcentral lists this transfer RNA (75 nucleotides) under Caudoviricetes sp. RNAcentral's name for it is "tRNA-His". It matches the Rfam family "tRNA". Rfam says of the family: Transfer RNA (tRNA) molecules are approximately 80 nucleotides in length. Their secondary structure includes four short double-helical elements and three loops (D, anti-codon, and T loops). Further hydrogen bonds mediate the characteristic L-shaped molecular structure. tRNAs have two regions of fundamental functional importance: the anti-codon, which is responsible for specific mRNA codon recognition, and the 3' end, to which the tRNAs corresponding amino acid is attached (by aminoacyl-tRNA synthetases). tRNAs cope with the degeneracy of the genetic code in two manners: having more than one tRNA (with a specific anti-codon) for a particular amino acid; and 'wobble' base-pairing, i.e. permitting non-standard base-pairing at the 3rd anti-codon position. The record is from RNAcentral. Lineage: Duplodnaviria; Heunggongvirae; Uroviricota; Caudoviricetes.
GUGUUAUUAGCUCAGUUGGUUAGAGCGCUUGAUUGUGGUUCAAGAGGUCGUCAGUUCGAUUCUGACAUAACACCC